AUUGAACGCUGGCGGCAGGCCUAACACAUGCAAGUCGAGCGAGCGGCGGACGGGUGAGUAAUGUCUGGGACACUGCCUGAUGGAGGGGGAUAACUACUGGAAACGGUAGCUAAUACCGCAUACCAUCGGAUGUGCCAAGAUGGGAUUAGCUAGUAGGUGGGGUAAAGGCUCACCAAGGCGACGAUCCCUAGCUGGUCUGAGAGGGUGACCAGCCACACUGGAACUGAGACACGGUCCAGACUCCUACGGGAGGCAGCAGUGGGGAAUAUUGCGCAAUGGGCGAAAGCCUGAUGCAGCAAUGCCGCGUGAAUGAAGAAGGCCUUCGGGUUGUAAAGUUCUGUCAGCGGGGAAGCGUUACCCGCAGAAGAAGCACCGGCUAACUCCGUGCCAGCAGCCGCGGUAAUAC
RNAcentral lists this ribosomal RNA (406 nucleotides) under uncultured bacterium. RNAcentral's name for it is "partial 16S ribosomal RNA". It matches the Rfam family "Bacterial small subunit ribosomal RNA", at positions 30 to 526 of the family's 1533-position model. The record is from RNAcentral.